UUCCGGUUGAUCCUGCCGGACCCGACUGCUAUUUGGGUGAGAAUAAGCCAUGCGAGUUGAAUGGGAUGCCUAAAGUUCCCAUAGCAAACUGCUCAGUAACACAUGAUCAACUUACCCUAUAGAGAAAAAUAACCUCGGGAAACUGAGGAUAAUGUUUCAUAAUUGAAUUGGCUUGGAAAAGUUUUUCAAUGAAAGGGAUAAAAAAAAUGGUUUUUAUCUGCUAUAGGAUAGGAUCGUGUUCGAUUAUGGUUGUUGGUGAGAUAAUGGCUCACCAAGCCGAUAAUCGAUAGGGGCCGUGAGAGCGGGAGCCCCGAGAUGGGUACUGAGACAACGACCCAGGCCUUACGAGGCGCAGCAGGCGCGGAACCUCCGCAAUACACGAAAGUGUGACGGGGUUACCCAAAGUGUUCAAUAGAACUGUGGUAGGUGAGUAAUGUCCCCUACUAGAAAGGAGAGGGCAAGGCUGGUGCCAGCCGCCGCGGUAAAACCAGCUCUUCAAGUGGUCGGGAUAAUUAUUGGGCUUAAAGUGUCCGUAGCCGGUUUAGCAAGUUCCUGGUAAAAUCGGGUAGCUUAACUAUCUGCAUGCUAGGAAUACUGCUAUACUAGAGGGCGGGAGAGGUCUGAGGUACUACAGGGGUAGGGGUGAAAUCUUAUAAUCCUUGUAGGACCACCAGUGGCGAAGGCGUCAGACUGGAACGCGCCUGACGGUGAGGGACGAAAGCCAGGGGAGCGAACCGGAUUAGAUACCCGGGUAGUCCUGGCCGUAAACGAUGCAUACUAGGUGAUGGUACGGCCAUGAGCCGUAUCAGUGCCGUAGGGAAACCGUUAAGUGUGCCGCCUGGGAAGUACGGUCGCAAGGCUAAAACUUAAAGGAAUUGGCGGGGGAGCACCACAAGGGGUGAAGCCUGCGGUUCAAUUGGAUUCAACGCCGGGAAUCACUAGUGCGGGCCGCCUGCAGGUCGACCAUAUGGGAGAGCUCCCAACGCGUUGGAUGCAUAGCUUGAGUAUUCUAUAGUGUCACUAAAUAGCUUGCGUAAUCAUGGUCAUAGCUGUUCCUGUGUGAAAUGUAUCCGCCUCACAUUCCACACAACAUACGAGCCCGGAGCAUAAAGUGUAAGCCUGAGUGCCUAAUGGAGGGAGCUUACUCCACAUAAUGGCGUGGCGCUCAUGCCGCUCCAGUCCGAAACCUGUCGUCCAGCUGCAUUAAUGGAAUCCGGCCCACACGCCUCCCGUGA
Molecule: ribosomal RNA, 1235 nt
Filed under: uncultured archaeon
Lineage: Archaea
Description: partial 16S rRNA
Rfam family: Archaeal small subunit ribosomal RNA
Source: RNAcentral